Molecule: ribosomal RNA, 504 nt
Filed under: uncultured bacterium
Lineage: Bacteria
Description: partial 16S ribosomal RNA
Rfam family: Bacterial small subunit ribosomal RNA
Source: RNAcentral
AUUGAACGCUGGCGGCAGGCCUAACACAUGCAAGUCGAACGGUAGCACAGAGAGCUUGCUCUCGGGUGACGAGUGGCGGACGGGUGAGUAACGUCUGGGAAACUGCCCGAUGGAGGGGGAUAACUACUGGAAACGGUAGCUAACACCGCUUAACGUCGCAAGACCAAAGUGGGGGACCUUCGGGCCUCACACCAUCGGAUGUGCCCAGAUGGGAUUAGCUAGUAGGUGGGGUAAUGGCUCACCUAGGCGACGAUCCCUAGCUGGUCUGAGAGGAGGACCAGCCACCCUGGAACGGGGACACGGUCCAGACUCCUACGGGAGGAAGCAGUGGGGAAUAUUGCACAAUGGGCGCAAGCCUGAUGCAGCCAUGCCGCGUGUAUGAAGAAGGCCUUCGGGUUGUAAAGUACUUUCAGCGGGGAGGAAGGCGGUGGAGUUAAUAACUUCACCGAUUGACGUUACCCGCAGAAGAAGCACCGGCUAACUCCGUGCCAGCCGCCGCCGUAA